Molecule: ribosomal RNA, 326 nt
Filed under: uncultured fungus
Lineage: Eukaryota; Fungi
Description: eukaryotic LSU rRNA
Rfam family: 5.8S ribosomal RNA (bases 1-71)
Source: RNAcentral
GUGAGUCAUCGAAUCUUUGAACGCACCUUGCGCUCCCUGGCAUUCCGGGGAGCAUGUCUGUUUGAGUGUCAUGAACUCUUCAACCCACCAGUUUCUUGUAGACUGAUUGGUGUUUGGAUUUUGAGCGUUGCUGGAUCUUCGGAUCGUAGCUCGUUCGUAAUAUAUUAGCAACUCUAAUUCGAACUCGGAUUGACUCAGUGUAAUAGACUAUUCGCUGAGGACACGUGCUUGCAUGUGGCCGAAUGAGAUCUCAGUAGGAGCUUCCAACUACAGUAGUCAACUUUAGAUUAGACCUCAGAUCAGACAGGAUUACCCGCUGAACUUAA